AUUGAACGCUGGCGGCAUGCCUUACACAUGCAAGUCGAACGGCAGCACGGGAGCAAUCCUGGUGGCGAGUGGCGAACGGGUGAGUAAUAUAUCGGAACGUGCCCAGUCGUGGGGAUAACGUAGCGAAAGCUACGCUAAUACCGCAUACGAUCUAUGGAUGAAAGCGGGGGAUCGCAAGACCUCGCGCGAUUGGAGCGGCCGAUAUCAGAUUAGGUAGUUGGUGAGGUAAAGGCUCACCAAGCCGACGAUCUGUAGCUGGUCUGAGAGGACGACCAGCCACACUGGGACUGAGACACGGCCCAGACUCCUACGGGAGGCAGCAGUGGGGAAUAUUGGACAAUGGGCGCAAGCCUGAUCCAGCAAUGCCGCGUGCAGGAUGAAGGCCUCGGUUGUAACGUAG
RNAcentral lists this ribosomal RNA (400 nucleotides) under uncultured bacterium. RNAcentral describes it as "bacterial SSU rRNA". It matches the Rfam family "Bacterial small subunit ribosomal RNA", at positions 30 to 432 of the family's 1533-position model. The record is from RNAcentral.